Molecule: ribosomal RNA, 321 nt
Filed under: Triticum aestivum (bread wheat)
Lineage: Eukaryota; Viridiplantae; Streptophyta; Magnoliopsida; Poales; Poaceae
Description: partial small subunit ribosomal RNA
Source: RNAcentral
AUGUCGGCGGUGUGGCGCCAAUUGGACUCUCUGGGAGCUGAUGUUUGUCGCAGAUGUCAGUGUUGUGUGCGGCAACAAGCUAAGCUGGAGGUUCGUUGCCUCUACGACUUCCUCACUCGCCUCCGGCCGGAGUUCGAGCAGAGUCGUGCUCAGCUAUUGGCACGCCAUCCUCGACUCUCUACUCUGGAGGCCCUUGCUGAGGUGUCACCACCCCUUUUGCUUCAGCUGCCACCUCCACCACAUCCUUCGCUCAAUGGCAUCAUCGAUUGGGUCACAUUUGUGGCUCCCGCUUGUCUUCUUUGGUUAGGAGUGGUGUUCUAG